This 357-nucleotide unclassified non-coding RNA is filed under the name soil metagenome. RNAcentral describes it as "partial contains 5.8S ribosomal RNA, internal transcribed spacer 2, and large subunit ribosomal RNA". The stretch from base 1 to 120 matches the Rfam family "5.8S ribosomal RNA", at positions 35 to 154 of the family's 154-position model. The record is from RNAcentral.
GAUGAAGAACGUAGCGAAAUGCGAUAAGUAAUGUGAAUUGCAGAAUUCAGUGAAUCAUCGAAUCUUUGAACGCACAUUGCGCCCGCUGGUAUUCCGGCGGGCAUGCCUGUUCGAGCGUCAUUUCAACCCUCAAGCUCUCCGGAGUUUGGUGUUGGGGCGCCUGGGGCUUUUCGACCUCAGGGCCCUCAAGUCCAUCGGCGGGACCGCCAGGACACUGAGCGCAGUAGUAUUAUUUCGCUCGGUAGGAUCUUCCACGGCGGGUCGAUCUGGCCGCUAAACCCCCCAAUUCUCACCAAAGGUUGACCUCGGAUCAGGUAGGAAUACCCGCUGAACUUAAGCAUAUCAAUAAGCAGAGGA